This 343-nucleotide unclassified non-coding RNA is filed under the name soil metagenome. Its description in RNAcentral is "partial contains 5.8S ribosomal RNA, internal transcribed spacer 2, and large subunit ribosomal RNA". The stretch from base 1 to 120 matches the Rfam family "5.8S ribosomal RNA", at positions 35 to 154 of the family's 154-position model. The record is from RNAcentral.
GAUGAAGAACGCAGCGAAAUGCGAUAAGUAAUGUGAAUUGCAGAAUUCAGUGAAUCAUCGAAUCUUUGAACGCACAUUGCGCCCGCUAGUAUUCUGGCGGGCAUGCCUGUCCGAGCGUCAUUUCAACCCCCAAGCCCCCGGGCUUGGUGUUGGGGAUCGGCGAGCCUCCGCGCCCGCCGUCCCCUAAAUCUAGUGGCGGUCUCGCUGUAGCUUCCUCUGCGUAGUAGCACACCUCGCACUGGGAAACAGCGCGGCCACGCCGUUAAACCCCCAACUUCUGAACGUUUGACCUCGGAUCAGGUAGGAAUACCCGCUGAACUUAAGCAUAUCAAUAAGCGGAGGA